AUUAGCUUGUAGGUGGGGUAACGGCUCACCAAGGCGACGAUCCCUAGCUGGUCUGAGAGGAUGACCAGCCACACUGGAACUGAGACACGGUCCAGACUCCUACGGGAGGCAGCAGUGGGGAAUAUUGCACAAUGGGCGCAAGCCUGAUGCAGCCAUGCCGCGUGUAUGAAGAAGGCCUUCGGGUUGUAAAGUACUUUCAGCGGGGAGGAAGGGAGUAAAGUUAAUACCUUUGCUCAUUGACGUUACCCGCAGAAGAAGCACCGGCUAACUCCGUGCCAGCAGCCGCGGUAAUACGGAGGGUGCAAGCGUUAAUCGGAAUUACUGGGCGUAAAGCGCACGCAGGCGGUUUGUUAAGUCAGAUGUGAAAUCCCCGGGCUCAACCUGGGAACUGCAUCUGAUACUGGCAAGCUUGAGUCUCGUAGAGGGGGGUAGAAUUCCAGGUGUAGCGGUGAAAUGCGUAGAGAUCUGGAGGAAUACCGGUGGCGAAGGCGGCCCCCUGGACGAAGACUGACGCUCAGGUGCGAAAGCGUGGGGAGCAAACAGGAUUAGAUACCCUGGUAGUCCACGCCGUAAACGAUGUCGACUUGGAGGUUGUGCCCUUGAGGCGUGGCUUCCGGAGCUAACGCGUUAAGUCGACCGCCUGGGGAGUACGGCCGCAAGGUUAAAACUCAAAUGAAUUGACGGGGGCCCGCACAAGCGGUGGAGCAUGUGGUUUAAUUCGAUGCAACGCGAAGAACCUUACCUGGUCUUGACAUCCACGGAAGUUUUCAGAGAUGAGAAUGUGCCUUCGGGAACCGUGAGACAGGUGCUGCAUGGCUGUCGUCAGCUCGUGUUGUGAAAUGUUGGGUUAAGUCCCGCAACGAGCGCAACCCUUAUCCUUUGUUGCCAGCGGUCCGGCCGGGAACUCAAAGGAGACUGCCAGUGAUAAACUGGAGGAAGGUGGGGAUGACGUCAAGU
RNAcentral lists this ribosomal RNA (957 nucleotides) under Escherichia coli. Its description in RNAcentral is "bacterial SSU rRNA". It matches the Rfam family "Bacterial small subunit ribosomal RNA", at positions 240 to 1190 of the family's 1533-position model. The record is from RNAcentral. Lineage: Bacteria; Pseudomonadati; Pseudomonadota; Gammaproteobacteria; Enterobacterales; Enterobacteriaceae.